UUCUGUCUCCCUUCAUUCUGACAUACAGUCGCUGGCAGCGCUCUGCAGGGAAACAGCAAAUUGCACCUUUUCUUCUCGAAUACAGGAUUUUUUUACCACCUACUGCACCGUCUCUAGUUGUCCCGAGGAUCGAUGGUGGUUAUUGCAGAUUAAACAAUUUAAGCAUGUGAACGUACCGUCUGUAUCUUUAACCGAAGGACUCCUUUGCUGAGUGACAUUAACUUGACACCUGUAGGGAUCGCCCUGUGCUGGAAAGAAAGCUCUCAUGUCCCCUGAUGAUAACAACGGCACAAUGCAGUGCAAUGAAUUACUGCACCAGUGGGAAGGAAGCAGCCCAAGAAGCCAUACGCAAUGACUCAUAUCGCCUGCUUCAGCAUGGUAGCGUGAAUCUGAUGAUCAGAGCUGGGAAUCUGUCAUAGAGUUCAGUGUUUGCAUUUUAAUUGGUUCAUUGAGAGAGAAAAGAAAAAAAGAAACAAACAAACAAAUGAUCCAGGCUAGAAAGAAAUAUCCGAUGGAUAUCCACCAUACUGACUGUGCUUGCGUCUGAGAA
Molecule: long non-coding RNA, 550 nt
Organism: Polyodon spathula (Mississippi paddlefish)
Lineage: Eukaryota; Metazoa; Chordata; Actinopteri; Acipenseriformes; Polyodontidae
Exons: 3
Source: RefSeq, a predicted model, not a curated record